RNAcentral lists this ribosomal RNA (253 nucleotides) under uncultured bacterium. Its description in RNAcentral is "partial 16S ribosomal RNA". It matches the Rfam family "Bacterial small subunit ribosomal RNA", at positions 524 to 776 of the family's 1533-position model. The record is from RNAcentral.
UACGGAGGGUGCAAGCGUUGUUCGGAAUCACUGGGCGUAAAGCGCGUGUAGGCGGCUAUCUAAGUCUGAUGUGAAAGCCCUGGGCUCAACUCAGGAAGUGCAUUGGAUACUGGAUAGCUGGAGUACCGGAGAGGAGGGUGGAAUUCCUGGUGUAGCGGUGAAGUGCGUAGAUAUCAGGAGGAACACUGGUGGCGAAGGCGUCCCUCUGGCCGGAUACUGACGCUGAGACGCGAAAGCGUGGGGAGCAAACAGG